GGUUAAGCGACUAAGCGUACACGGUGGAUGCCCUGGCAGUCAGAGGCGAUGAAGGGCGUGCUAAUCUGCGAUAAGCGCCGGUAAGGUGAUAUGAACCGUUAUAACCGGCGAUACCCGAAUGGGGAAACCCAGUGUGACUCGUCACACUAUCAUUAACUGAAUCCAUAGGUUAAUGAGGCGAACCGGGGGAA
This 191-nucleotide ribosomal RNA is filed under the name Salmonella enterica. Its description in RNAcentral is "partial 23S ribosomal RNA". It matches the Rfam family "Bacterial large subunit ribosomal RNA", at positions 1 to 192 of the family's 2925-position model. Lineage: Bacteria; Pseudomonadati; Pseudomonadota; Gammaproteobacteria; Enterobacterales; Enterobacteriaceae. The record is from RNAcentral. RNAcentral also lists the same sequence under 21 other names.